This is a long non-coding RNA of Sardina pilchardus (European sardine), 1044 nucleotides long. RefSeq lists it as uncharacterized. The transcript is spliced from 2 exons. NCBI's taxonomy places the organism in Eukaryota, Metazoa, Chordata, Actinopteri, Clupeiformes, Clupeidae. The record is from RefSeq and is a predicted model, not a curated record.
GCAAGUGGGACUCGCCUCCUUACUCCUACGUUUAUGGAAAUUAAACAGAAUACACAACCUGCGCUAACACACCAUUCACUAUCAAAAGCAUAUCAGAGGUUCUAUGAUAAAGAUGGAACGUUCAAGAAAAAAUCUCAUUGAGUCCGUCAUGCAUUUCUUCAAUGAGAGAGAUCUGCGUCUCCAUCACAAGCUCAACGCUCAAGUCACAAUGGCGGGCUCUUUGUGCCAACUGGCAAGGACACAAGCCACUGCUGUUGAUAAAGGAUGCAAUAAUUGCAGUGCCGUCCAGCCAAUGUUGUAAAAAUAUUAUAUUUUUCACAAAUGCAUAAAAUGAUAUUCACACAGGACCUGGUUGAAAAACGUUCUGAAACCUGAACUAGCACAAGGCCCACACCCUGACAGACGACUUCCCACUGCACUCUGCCAGCAAAUGUACACUUUAGCGCCACACAGUGGUGGUUUUAUGUAAGUGGGUAAAAACAGUUCUGCCCAGUAUAUCCUUAAAAGUGUCAGGUCCUCUGUAAUAAUGAAGAUAUCAUCAUGGAAUAUAUCCCAUAAAUGAUAUGCUGAUUGACCAGUUUGACACUUGUUGGCACUUGUGCUUUAAUGUAAUGUUACAGCAAGUGAUUUUGCUAUCAAGAUAAAAAAGCAACAUUAAACAGUGACUAGUUGACAAGAUUACCUCAGAACAUUCUGAGGUAGUGAUGUGCUUUUGUGAAUGAUUAGUUUGUAAGUAGUUUGAAGUUUGCGGAGAUGAAAUAGUUUGAUGCAAAAAAGUUAUCACCAUUCACACAAUAGUGUAAUAGCUAAUAGCAGACGUUAGUUACUUAUUUAAUUACUUGGUAACAUACUGUAUUUAAGCGAUUAUUAGAAAUGCAUACUGCAAUCAAGUGCUGUGCCAUAUAACAAUCCUGAGACAUUCCACAUAAGGUGCCGUUCAAUUUUUGUCAUAAUGAAUUGAAAUAUUUCCUGGAAUAUUGUACAGUAAUUCCCUGUGUUAGCCGCAGGAAAGGACAAAAUAAACAAAACCACAUUAAUACCAUA